UACGGAGGGUGCGAGCGUUGUCCGGAAUCACUGGGCGUAAAGGGCGCGUAGGUGGCGCGGGAAGUCAACGGUGAAAGUUCGGGGCUCAACCCUGAAUCGGCCGUCGAUACUCCCGGGCUCGAGCACUGUAGAGGCAGAUGGAAUUCCGGGUGUAGCGGUGGAAUGCGUAGAUAUCGGGAGGAACACCAGUGGCGAAGGCGAUCACCUGGGGUUGUUCUGACGCUGAGGAGCGAAAGCUAGGGGAGCAAACGGG
RNAcentral lists this ribosomal RNA (253 nucleotides) under uncultured bacterium. RNAcentral's name for it is "partial 16S ribosomal RNA". It matches the Rfam family "Bacterial small subunit ribosomal RNA", at positions 524 to 776 of the family's 1533-position model. The record is from RNAcentral.